Molecule: long non-coding RNA, 469 nt
Filed under: Elaeis guineensis (African oil palm)
Lineage: Eukaryota; Viridiplantae; Streptophyta; Magnoliopsida; Arecales; Arecaceae
Description: long non-coding RNA (EGUI_LNC025922)
Source: RNAcentral
GCUGCCAUUCCCCGAUCAAUCUCCCUUACAUUGGGGAAAGCAAAGUAUCGAGUGUGGGUGAACAUCAAGACUGCCAUGGGGGGACAUCCUUUACCAUUUGAUAUCUCUCCAAGGUGGGAUUGGGAAGCAGAUUGGACUCCGAGGGGCCCUCUGUUGACCCUUAGUGGCGCCUCUACUGACUCUUUCUUUAGUGGUGCCUUUGCUUAGGAUCACCUCUCAAACUUGGAGCCCCCUCAUUAGAUGGCCGAAGAAGCGAGUGAUGAGGUGGAACCUUUGGAUUCCCUAGCUCAAGUGCUGUCUGAGGCCCCUCUCUCGGUUAAUGUCAUGGAGAUCUAACCUCCAACGAGUGCUGCGAUCCAGGCGAUGGUGUCCCCCUCACCACUCGACCCUCCCUAUGAGGAGCAAUCUUUGGAUUGUCUAGAGGAGCCGGCCAACACCCUUCCUAUGCCUUCGGCUAGCCGACAUUCCC